Non-coding RNA from Pelobates cultripes (western spadefoot toad), 280 nucleotides. Lineage: Eukaryota; Metazoa; Chordata; Amphibia; Anura; Pelobatidae. The record is from the annotation of a GenBank genome assembly.
AUAGAUAGGUGGGAGCACCAUUAUGUAGAGAUUUGAAAGCAAGAACCAGAAUUUUAAAUUAAGCCCUAUAUCGUACAGGAAGCCAAUGUAGGGACUGACAGAAAGGUGAGGCGUUGGAGGUGCAGGCAGACAGGAAGAUGAGCCUCGCCGCCGCAUUUAUUAUGGCGCAAGUUGGGAGCACGUAAGACCACUGAGCAGCCGAUUACAGUAGUCAAAGCCAGAAAGGGCAAUGGAAUGGACUAGCACCUUAGUCGCAUCUGGUGUUAACGUAGGGUCGGAU